This 68-nucleotide transfer RNA is filed under the name Ophiogomphus cecilia. RNAcentral's name for it is "tRNA-Gln". The record is from RNAcentral. Lineage: Eukaryota; Metazoa; Arthropoda; Insecta; Odonata; Gomphidae.
UAUAUUUUGGUGUAUGAUGCACAGAAGUUUUUGAUAUUUCAAGAGCAGUUUAAUUCUGCAAAAUAUAA